GGUCCGACGGUAGCGGGUUAUCAGAACCUAUUAACAUUAGCGUUACUGAAGUUGGUAUACAACCCCCCACUACUAAAUUUGGCUUAAAAUUUU
RNAcentral lists this non-coding RNA (93 nucleotides) under Propithecus coquereli (Coquerel's sifaka). The record is from RNAcentral. Lineage: Eukaryota; Metazoa; Chordata; Mammalia; Primates; Indriidae.